UUUCAUAUAACUUCGAUGUCAUAUUGUAAAAAGAAAAAAAAAAACAAUUUUAAACCUAGAUUCAGGCCACCGUCUGCUUUUGCUUUUGGUCGGCUAAAAAACCUUUAUUAGAGAUAAGGAAGACACAAACAACACCUCAAAUAAACAAAGAAACACCAAAACAGACCGUUACAAAAUCACUGUCGUUUGCUUUGAUUAAAACCUCACCAGCUCAAGAACAC
RNAcentral lists this long non-coding RNA (221 nucleotides) under Gossypium raimondii (Peruvian cotton). RNAcentral describes it as "long non-coding RNA (GRAI_LNC000619)". The record is from RNAcentral. Lineage: Eukaryota; Viridiplantae; Streptophyta; Magnoliopsida; Malvales; Malvaceae.